AUGAUUGAGUAUAAGAACUAGAACCGCAAACUGAUCCCAAAAGCUAAAGUAGUGUUUCCUUGUUAGAAAAUACAAAGCCAAAGACUCAUAAAAACUUCUACUUCACCAUCAAA
RNAcentral lists this small RNA (113 nucleotides) under Arabidopsis thaliana (thale cress). RNAcentral's name for it is "ATSL199030". The record is from RNAcentral. Lineage: Eukaryota; Viridiplantae; Streptophyta; Magnoliopsida; Brassicales; Brassicaceae.